RNAcentral lists this ribosomal RNA (229 nucleotides) under uncultured bacterium. RNAcentral's name for it is "partial 16S ribosomal RNA". It matches the Rfam family "Bacterial small subunit ribosomal RNA", at positions 568 to 796 of the family's 1533-position model. The record is from RNAcentral.
UGCGUAGGCGGGCUAUUAAGUCAGUGGUGAAAGGUAUCAGCUUAACUGAUGACGUGCCAUUGAAACUGAUAGGCUUGAGUACAGACGAGGUAGGCGGAAUUUAUGGUGUAGCGGUGAAAUGCAUAGAUACCAUAAAGAACACCAAUUGCGAAGGCAGCUUACUAGACUGAGACUGACGCUGAGGCACGAAAGCGUGGGGAGCGAACAGGAUUAGAUACCCUGGUAGUCC